GCCAGCAUGGUUUAGUGGUUUGAGUUUUGGACUAUGACUCUGGAGGCCAGGGUUCAAAUCCCUGUUCAGCCA
Molecule: non-coding RNA, 72 nt
Organism: Phrynosoma platyrhinos (Desert horned lizard)
Lineage: Eukaryota; Metazoa; Chordata; Lepidosauria; Squamata; Phrynosomatidae
Source: the annotation of a GenBank genome assembly